UCAAGGUGACCCGAAAUAGUAAAAUGGUUUUCGGAUGAUUACUCAAGAACGCAUACGCUUAGGAUCAUGAAACUUCAUGGGUAGAUUGAUCAUGACUCGCAGAUGACCCCUAUUGAUUUUGAGGUCACUAGGUCAAAGGUCAAGGUCACGGUGACCCGAAAUAGUAAAAUAGUUUCCGGAUGAUAACUCAAGAACGCAUACGCCUAGGAUCAUGAAACUUCAUGGGUAGAUUGAUCAUGACUCGCAGAUGACCCCUAUCAAUUUUGAGGUCACUAGGUCAAAGGUCAAGGUCACGGUGACCCGAAAUAGUAAAAUGGUUUCCGGAUGAUAACUCAAGAACGCAUACGCCUAGGAUCAUGAAACUUCAUGGGUAGAUUGAUCAUGACUCGCAGAUGACCCCUAUCAAUUUUGAGGUCACUAGAUCAAAGGUCAAGGUCACAGUGACCCGAAAUAGUAAAAUGGAUUCCGGAUGAUAACUCAAGAACGCAUACGCCUAGGAUCAUGAAACUUCAUAGGUAGAUUGAUCAUGACUCGCAGAUGACCCCUAUUGAUUUUGAGGUCACAAGGUCAAAGGUCAAGGUCACGGUGACCCGAAAUAGUAAAAUGAUUUUCGGAUGAUAACUCAAGAACGCUUUUGCCUAGGAUCAUGACACUUCAUAGGUACAUUGAUCGUGACUCGCAGAUGACCCCUAUUGAUUUUCAGGUCACUAGGUCAAAGGUCAAGGUCACAGUGACAAAAAUCGUGCUCACACAAUGGCUGCCACUACAAUGGACAGCCCAUAUGGGGGGCAUGCAUGUUCUACAAACAGCCUUUGUUUCAUCAUGAUUAACUUGAUUGAUUUGAAAUGUCGUCAUCAUUUUUUUGGUAAUUUUAAUCAAUUUUACCUCAGUCUUCUCAUUUCGCUAAACUGGGGUGUAUCCUUAAUGCCUGUUGUUUCGUCAAGUUCAAUCAUGUUGUAAUAUUGCGCUUAUACAAGGCAUGGUUCAGGUGAUGUCUUUGCCUCUGCUUUUUGAUAUACCUAGUACAAGGUAGGCUUGGAAAACAACGGACCCCCAUCUGUAUGCUCUCUGGGUUGUGAUGUUUUCUAAAAUUUUCCAUCUCGGCUAUAAGUUGUUAUCACACUUUCUUUUGCUGAUUUCUUGUCAAAUCCAUGUUUACCGGUAAAUGGUUAUUGUCCAUAGGUGGAUAAUGGUUUCACUACAUCGUCUGAAGAGGAUCGGAAAUGAGAACUUCUGCAGGCUGCUCUGUUAAUCCAGAGAAUACUGUCAUCCCUCAAACUGGACAUCCUCUCCCACUGACUCCCAGAAUUUAGAAGUAUCGCCAAGCGGAAUAGUAAUAAUUAUUGUCUUUUGGUGAAUAGUGGUUUCACUACAUGGCUUGAAGAGGGACAGGAGCAGUGUAGGUGGCAGUGUAGAGGAUCGAUGGAGAGGACCUUGGGCAGAGAUGCAGACAAGGAUUUUGAGGUGAUGGCCCUAUGAAGAUAAUGGAAUGGUCCCAGGACAGCGGUACUCAAUGGAGGAGUUAGAAGAUAAAGUGGAAAAUUUGGAAAUCGCGGUAAACGCAUCCAAUGAGAUAAUUGUUGAAAAGUGUGGCGAGAUGGAAAGUAGACUGAAUGAACUUGAGAAUAAGCACAAGACAGAGAUUGCUAAUAUGAGAGCUGAAUUCAAGAAUGAAAUUGAAGAAAUGUCUGUUGCAAUAAAUAGUUUGAGUUUCCAGGCGUCUCCAAUAUACAGCAGUAGCCAAAUUCAAGGAUCUGGAAGAGGAGGUAGAGCCGCGGAAACGAUUCUCUUGGAUUCUGCUUCUGGGUUAAAACACGGAUCUGGAAGAGCGAGUAGAGUCGUGGAUUUUUGAGUACACGUUGGAAGUGGCUACCGAACCAGCUUUCAAAUGCCGGUAAUACUGGAUGACGUGGAUCCAGAACUCAGGGAGAAAAUACGUCCGCAUGUUCGCAACAGCUUAGACCCUAAGAAAAAGCUUUCGCAGCUACAGUUAAGGUUCUGUGACUGGUGGCUAACUAUCAGCGAUGCUCAGACAGCGAGGAAGGGUACAGCAGGGGCCCUCAGAGAAGCUGGGAUACAUAACAAGAUAUGGUCGAGUAGUUGGUGUCCCGACAUUGUCGGAGACUUCGAAGGAUAUCUUGUUGAAAAGAUCAAACACUGGAUGAAGAAACAGAAGAAAGAUCUUUUGCAAAAGGGCAUUAAGAGGUAAUCGGAUGGUGCAGACCAUUAAAAAGGCUAUAGUGAUGAUUUAAUGGAUGAAAGUGUUUUGUGACAUAGUGUUUUCAUUUUCAUGAUUAUUAUUUCAUUUAAGACAUAACUUAUUUUAGUUGAUAUAUUGGCUGAUUCAGGGUUAAAACACUAUUUCAAAUAACCCUACGGAUAAUUAAAAUUAUGGUUUUAACCCUGUAUCAGCCAGUGACAUUUUCGGGACAAUGUCAUUGGCUGAUUCAGGGUUAAAACCCUAUUUCAAAUAUAUUUCUAUAUAACAUUUUACCAUAACCAAAAACCAGACAAUGUCAUUGGCUGAUUCAUGGUUAAAACCCUAUUUUUAGAAAAUUGAUGUUACAGUUUAUUUUGAUGAUAAAAGUUAUUAAAGUGAUUCAAGUCCCGUCCCUGUUCCACCUCUGUCCCUUGCUGUCCCUUUCCUGUCCCUUUCUGUCCCUUAUCUAUUCCUAUCUCUCGCUAACCCAUCCCUGUCCCUUAUUUGUACCUGACAGAAAGGUACAGAAAACAGCGGCAGGAAAUGACA
Molecule: long non-coding RNA, 2749 nt
Organism: Dreissena polymorpha
Lineage: Eukaryota; Metazoa; Mollusca; Bivalvia; Myida; Dreissenidae
Exons: 3
Source: RefSeq, a predicted model, not a curated record